RNAcentral lists this ribosomal RNA (401 nucleotides) under uncultured Eubacteriales bacterium. RNAcentral describes it as "bacterial SSU rRNA". It matches the Rfam family "Bacterial small subunit ribosomal RNA", at positions 355 to 774 of the family's 1533-position model. The record is from RNAcentral. Lineage: Bacteria; Bacillati; Bacillota; Clostridia; Eubacteriales.
UGGGGAAUCUUGCACAAUGGGCGAAAGCCUGAUGCAGCAACGCCGCGUGAGCGAUGAAGGCCUUCGGGUCGUAAAGCUCUGUCCUAUGGGAAGAUAAUGACGGUACCAUAGGAGGAAGCCCCGGCUAACUACGUGCCAGCAGCCGCGGUAAUACGUAGGGGGCAAGCGUUAUCCGGAAUUACUGGGCGUAAAGGGUGCGUAGGCGGUUUAUCAAGUCAGAGGUCAAAGGCUACGGCUCAACCGUAGUAAGCCUCUGAAACUGAUGAACUUGAGUAUAGGAGAGGAAAGUGGAAUUCCAAGUGUAGCGGUGAAAUGCGUAGAUAUUUGGAGGAACACCAGUGGCGAAGGCGACUUUCUGGACUAUAACUGACGCUGAGGCACGAAAGCGUGGGGAGCAAACA